Molecule: non-coding RNA, 1090 nt
Organism: Ciona intestinalis (vase tunicate)
Lineage: Eukaryota; Metazoa; Chordata; Ascidiacea; Phlebobranchia; Cionidae
Source: RefSeq, a predicted model, not a curated record
CACUUUGCGUCGUCGCAAGGCACAUUACUUACAGUUCUAUUAAUUUCGCUCUAAAAUAUAUUCGUGCUGUUAGCACAAAAUAAAGCAUGAAGAUCAAAGAAUUGGUAAAGUAUAAAUCACAAUAUACAUUGUUACGUACACCAGAUCUUUUAUAGAUGACAUCAGAGAUGUGACGUCACGAAGCGGUGAUGAGAAAAAAGAAGAACCCACUUCAACGUGGUAUAUGUGACGUCACAGAGAAUCAAGAGGACAGAGCGAAAUUCUGGAAUGAAGAAAAGCCAGCGUAUAUGCUGCAGAAGAAAAAUUUUUUAAUGAUUCUGCAUUGUCCUAAUCACUUGAUAAGAUCGGCAUGUUGGUACACAAAUACUUUAGUAAUAUCCGCGCGCAUUAUAAUAUACACGCAGUUAAAAAAAAUUGAUAUCCCAUAUUUUCUUUAAAAGAUUGUCCCAGUGAACCAGUUGCUAUUAUUUUUACUAAAGCCUAAUUGUGACGCUGGCCACGUUACAAUUACGCUACGUCGAUGGGUCUUUCGGCCCUGCGUUCGGUGCGGUUAUGUCACGGUUUUAGACUGAGUUAUGUACCGUUGGGUUGUUGCGUAGACGUCGCCGCCAGUGAUGCUACGCUAGUUUAGGUCACUACCAGUACAGUGAUGCUACGCUCGGUUAUUUAGGUCACUAUUCGUGCGGUUCGUAACAACCUGACGCAGUUUCAUGACGGUCGAAGCGGUGCUUAACAUCCGAACGAUAUUGUAUUGCGUGAAGAUACAACGAGAGUAUCGUGGUACCAGCAUGGCGACUUAUCUUUUGAUUUGGGCAUGCGGAGCCGUUAUUAGCUUCGACUCCUUGUGGUCGGAUAUUUAGUGAUUUGUACACUGCAGAUGAUUAUCCUUCAGGAUUUGAACCAUAUUUUCUUUGAAGAUGUUUCAAUGAUUAUGUCCGCGUUAAUUAACUUUUUGUUAUAGUCCCAUUUUAAAUAUGUCUGAGCUGUUGUGUGUAUUGCUGCAUGCUUUUUGCACUUUUUGUAUUUGCACCUCGUUGUAUAAUUUUUGUCUUUUUGUCGUUAUUGUCGUGCACAUGUGUAUGUGCAUUCG